GCGGGGCUGCCAGGUUGGUGCAGGCACAUGAACCCCCGGGGCCAAUAAGCAUCCUCCGGGGGCUGGCGCUGCUCAGGUCUUGGCCUGGGUACCUGGUUCCCACCUGCACAAGCAGGUCUCAGGAGGGUUUUAACGCCCACGGCCAUGGUGGCUCCGCA
RNAcentral lists this non-coding RNA (158 nucleotides) under Falsiroseomonas frigidaquae. RNAcentral describes it as "6S RNA". It matches the Rfam family "6S / SsrS RNA". From Rfam's summary of the family: E. coli 6S RNA was the first non coding RNA to be sequenced, but its function was unknown until recently. It consists of 184 nucleotides that fold into an extended hairpin structure with a large single-stranded internal bulge. The 6S RNA specifically associates with RNA polymerase holoenzyme containing the sigma70 specificity factor. Lineage: Bacteria; Pseudomonadati; Pseudomonadota; Alphaproteobacteria; Acetobacterales; Roseomonadaceae. The record is from RNAcentral.